AACGCGAAGAACCUUACCUGGGCUCGAAAUGUACACGACCGGGGUGGAAACAUCCCUUCCCAGCAAUGGGCGUGUAUAUAGGUGCUGCAUGGCUGUCGUCAGCUCGUGUCGUGAGAUGUUGGGUUAAGUCCCGCAACGAGCGCAACCCUUAUCUUCAGUUGCUACCAUUUAGUUGAGCACUCUGACGAAACCGCCUCGGAUAACGGGGAGGAAGGUGGGGAUGACGUCAAGUCCUCAUGGCCUUUAUGUCCAGGGCUACACACGUGCUACAAUGGCCGGUACAAACCGUCGCAAACCCGCGAGGGGGAGCUAAUCGGAAAAAGCCGGCCUCAGUUCGGAUUACAGUCUGCAACUCGACUGUAUGAAGCUGGAAUCGCUAGUAAUCGCGGAUCAGAAUGCCGCGGUGAAUACGUUCCCGGGCCUUGUACACACCGUAGAGAC
Molecule: ribosomal RNA, 441 nt
Filed under: uncultured bacterium
Lineage: Bacteria
Description: bacterial SSU rRNA
Rfam family: Bacterial small subunit ribosomal RNA
Source: RNAcentral